RNAcentral lists this long non-coding RNA (537 nucleotides) under Coffea arabica (coffee). Its description in RNAcentral is "long non-coding RNA (CARA_LNC002773)". The record is from RNAcentral. Lineage: Eukaryota; Viridiplantae; Streptophyta; Magnoliopsida; Gentianales; Rubiaceae.
CCCUGUCAAAUUACUACUACAUCUUGUUUUGUAAUUAGCAUUGCAUCUUAGUUGGGUUAGUAAGAGAACUAAUCUUGGAUGGAGAAUCUGUAUUUUCCUUUAUUUCUUGAUCCUUUGCUUUGGGUUUAACUGUGAAACUUAAAGCUGUAGAAAGCCUGAGUUGUUUUGGAGGUUGUGUUUCCAAUACCCAUUCCUAUUACCAGGAUAAGCUGAUCUGUUGUAAACUUUAGCUAAGCAAGCUGUCUGUCGGUGAUAGGGCAAUAUCAACCAUACUAUGGUAUGUCUUAUGGUGUCUAAUAAGGAUCUGCAAAUUUGAAUGAUCUCAUCCAUGGUAUUAUAGCUUUAUCUGACGUAGAUAAAGAUAGUCAUUUAGCAUGACUAGAAGAGUCACUUGGAUAGAGAACUUUCAUGCUGGCUUUGUGCUGCAUUUCAAUGACCAAACUGAGCUAGUAAAACUGGCAAAGAUUAUUUUGCACUGGAUAUUUAGUUGGUUGAUUCUUGUAUCUGGAAAGAAUGGUGAAAUGCAAUGUCUUGCCC